GAUCAAGCGAAUAAGCGCAUAUGGUGGAUGCCUAGGCAGUUGGAGGCGAUGAAGGACGUUGUAGUCUGCGAAAUGCUCGGGGGAGCUGACAAACAAGCGUUAUAUCCCGAGAUGUCCGAAUGGGGAAACCCGGCCCUUAUGGGGUCAUCUAUAUCUGAAUACAUAGGGUAUAGAAGCGAACCCGGAGAACUGAACCAUCUAAGUACCCGGAGGAAAAGAAAUCAACCGAGAUUCCCUUAGUAGCGGCGAGCGAAAGGGGACCAGCCAGCAAUCUUUAUUCUGAAUGUUAGGGGAACGUGCCUGGAAAGGCCGGCAGUAUAAGGUGAUAGCCCUGUACCCGAAAACAAUCAGGAAGAACUAGGUUUGCGAAAAGUAGGUCGGAGCACGUGUAAUUCUGACUGAACAUGGGGGGACCAUCCUCCAAGGCUAAAUACUCCCAACUGACCGAUAGUGAACUAGUACCGUGAGGGAAAGGCGAAAAGAACCCCGGAGAGGGGAGUGAAAUAGAUCCUGAAACCGUAUGCGUACAAGCAGUAGGAGCAGACUUGUUCUGUGACUGCGUACCUUUUGUAUAAUGGGUCAGCGACUUACUUUCUGUAGCAAGCUUAACCGUUUAGGGGAGGCGUAGGGAAACCGAGUCUUAAUAGGGCGAUUAGUUGCAGGGAGUAGACCCGAAACCAGGCGAUCUAUCCAUGGCCAGGGUGAAGGUUGAGUAACAUCAACUGGAGGCCCGAACCCACGUAUGUUGAAAAAUGCGGGGAUGAGCUGUGGAUAGGAGUGAAAGGCUAAUCAAGCCUGGAGAUAGCUGGUUCUCCGCGAAAACUAUUUAGGUAGUGCGUCAUGUAUCACCACUGGGGGUAGAGCACUGUUUCGGCUAGGGGGUCAUCCCGACUUACCAACCCGAUGCAAACUCCGAAUACCAGUGAGUGCGAGCAUGGCAGACAGACGGCGGGUGCUAACGUCCGUCGUCAAGAGGGAAACAACCCAGACCGCCAGCUAAGGUCCCCAAAUCACAGUUAAGUGGGAAACGAUGUGGGAAGGCACAGACAGCUAGGAGGUUGGCUUAGAAGCAGCCACCCUUUAAAGAAAGCGUAAUAGCUCACUAGUCGAGUCGGCCCGCGCGGAAGAUGUAACGGGGGCUCAAACUGUGUACCGAAGCUGCGGAUAUGAUUGCUCUCAUGGGCUUUCAUAUGGUAGCGGAGCGUUCUGUAAGCCUGUGAAGGUGUAUCGUAAGGUAUGCUGGAGGUAUCAGAAGUGCGAAUGCUGACAUGAGUAACGAUAAGGGGGGUGAAAAACCCCCCCGCCGGAAGACCAAGGUUUCCUGCGCAACGCUAAUCGGCGCAGGGUAAGUCGGCCCCUAAGGCGAGGGCGAAAGCCGUAGUCGAUGGGAAGCAGGUUAAUAUUCCUGCACUUAUAUUUAUUGCGAUGGAGGGACGGAGAAGGCUAGGCUAGCGCGGCGAUGGUUGUCCGCGUUUAAGCGUGUAGGCUGGGGGAUUAGGCAAAUCCGGUCCCCCUUAAGGCUGAGGCGUGAUGACGAACGAGAUCUUUGGAUCUCGGAAGUAGUUGAUGCCAUGCUUCCAGGAAAAGCUUCUAAGCUUCAGAUAAAUGUGAACCGUACCCCAAACCGACACAGGUGGUCAGGUAGAGAAUACCAAGGCGCUUGAGAGAACUCGGGUGAAGGAACUAGGCAAAAUGGUACCGUAACUUCGGGAGAAGGUACGCCCCUUUUGGUGAUCGGACUUGCUCCGUAAGCUGAAGGGGGUCGAAGAUACUAGGUGGCUGCGACUGUUUACUAAAAACACAGCACUCUGCAAACACGUAAGUGGACGUAUAGGGUGUGACGCCUGCCCGGUGCCGGAAGGUUAAUUGAUGGGGUUAUCUUCGGAGAAGCUCUUGAUCGAAGCCCCGGUAAACGGCGGCCGUAACUAUAACGGUCCUAAGGUAGCGAAAUUCCUUGUCGGGUAAGUUCCGACCUGCACGAAUGGCGUAACGAUGGCCACACUGUCUCCACCCGAGACUCAGUGAAAUUGAAUUUGCGGUUAAGAUGCCGUAUACCCGCGGCUAGACGGAAAGACCCCGUGCACCUUUACUAUAGCUUUACACUGGACUUUGAUUUUACUUGUGUAGGAUAGGUGGGAGACUUUGAAGCAAUCACGCUAGUGGUUGUGGAGUCGCCCUUGAAAUACCACCCUGGUAACGUCGAGGUUCUAACUUAGGUCCGUGAUCCGGAUUGAGGACAGUGUAUGGUGGGUAGUUUGACUGGGGCGGUCUCCUCCCAAAGAGUAACGGAGGAGCGCGAAGGUACCCUCAGCAUGGUCGGAAAUCAUGCAAUGAGUGCAAUGGCAUAAGGGUGCUUGACUGCGAGACGGACAGGUCGAGCAGGUACGAAAGUAGGUCAUAGUGAUCCGGUGGUUCUGUAUGGAAGGGCCAUCGCUCAACGGAUAAAAGGUACGCCGGGGAUAACAGGCUGAUACCGCCCAAGAGUUCACAUCGACGGCGGUGUUUGGCACCUCGAUGUCGGCUCAUCACAUCCUGGGGCUGAAGCCAGUCCCAAGGGUAUGGCUGUUCGCCAUUUAAAGUGGUACGCGAGCUGGGUUUAGAACGUCGUGAGACAGUUCGGUCCCUAUCUGCCGUGGGCGUUUGAGAUUUGAGAGGAGCUGCUCCUAGUACGAGAGGACCGGAGUGGACGAACCUCUGGUGUUCCGGUUGUGAUGCCAAUUGCAUUGCCGGGUAGCUAUGUUCGGACAGGAUAACCGCUGAAAGCAUCUAAGCGGGAAGCCCCCCUCAAGAUUAGAUCUCACUGGGAACUUGAUUCCCCUAAAGGACCCUCGAAGACUACGAGGUUGAUAGGCUGGGUGUGUAAGCGCUGCGAGGCGUUGAGCUAACCAGUACUAAUUGUCCGUGAGGCUUGAUCAU
Molecule: ribosomal RNA, 2916 nt
Filed under: Pseudomonadales bacterium
Lineage: Bacteria; Pseudomonadati; Pseudomonadota; Gammaproteobacteria; Pseudomonadales
Description: 23S ribosomal RNA
Rfam family: Bacterial large subunit ribosomal RNA
Source: RNAcentral